CAGCAGCCGCGGGAAUACGUAGGGUGCAAGCGUUAAUCGGAAUUACUGGGCGUAAAGCGUGCGCAGGCGGUUAUAUAAGACAGAUGUGAAAUCCCCGGGCUCAACCUGGGAACUGCAUUUGUGACUGUAUAGCUAGAGUACGGCAGAGGGGGAUGGAAUUCCGCGUGUAGCAGCGAAAUGCGUAGAUAUGCGGAGGAACACCGAUGGCGAAGGCAAUCCCCUGGGCCUGUACUGACGCUCAUGCACGAAAGCGUGGGGAGCAAACAGGAUUAGAUACCCCAGUAGUCCCUGUCUCUUAUAC
Molecule: ribosomal RNA, 301 nt
Filed under: uncultured bacterium
Lineage: Bacteria
Description: partial 16S ribosomal RNA
Rfam family: Bacterial small subunit ribosomal RNA
Source: RNAcentral